AUUGAACGCUGGCGGCAGGCCUAACACAUGCAAGUCGAGCGGUAGAGAGAAGCUUGCUUCUCUUGAGAGCGGCGGACGGGUGAGUAAUGCCUAGGAAUCUGCCUAGUGGUGGGGGAUAACGUUCGGAAACGGACGCUAAUACCGCAUACGUCCUACGGGAGAAAGCGGGGGAUCUUCGGACCUCGCGCCAUUAGAUGAGCCUAGGUCGGAUUAGCUAGUUGGUGAGGUAAUGGCUCACCAAGGCAACGAUCCGUAACUGGUCUGAGAGGAUGAUCAGUCACACUGGAACUGAGACACGGUCCAGACUCCUACGGGAGGCAGCAGUGGGGAAUUUUGGACAAUGGACGCAAGUCUGAUCCAGCCAUUCCGCGUGCAGGAUGAAGGCCCUCGGGUUGUAAACUGCUUUUGUACGGAACGAAAAGGUCUCUCUUAAUACGAGGGGCUCAUGACGGUACCGUAAGAAUAAGCACCGGCUAACUACGUGCCAGCAGCCGACGG
This 498-nucleotide ribosomal RNA is filed under the name uncultured bacterium. RNAcentral's name for it is "bacterial SSU rRNA". It matches the Rfam family "Bacterial small subunit ribosomal RNA", at positions 30 to 520 of the family's 1533-position model. The record is from RNAcentral.